GACGAACGCUGGCGGCGUGCUUAACACAUGCAAGUCGAACGGAAAGGCCCUGCUUUUGUGGGGUGCUCGAGUGGCGAACGGGUGAGUAACACGUGAGUAACCUGCCCUUGACUUUGGGAUAACUUCAGGAAACUGGGGCUAAUACCGGAUAGGAGCUCCUGCUGCAUGGUGGGGGUUGGAAAGUUUCGGCGGUUGGGGAUGGACUCGCGGCUUAUCAGCUUGUUGGUGGGGUAGUGGCUUACCAAGGCUUUGACGGGUAGCCGGCCUGAGAGGGUGACCGGCCACAUUGGGACUGAGAUACGGCCCAGACUCCUACGGGAGGCAGCAGUGGGGAAUAUUGCACAAUGGGCGGAAGCCUGAUGCAGCAACGCCGCGUGCGGGAUGACGGCCUUCGGGUUGUAAACCGCUUUCGCCUGUGACGAAGCGUGAGUGAUGGUAAUGGGUAAAGAAGCACCGGCUAACUACGU
This 467-nucleotide ribosomal RNA is filed under the name uncultured bacterium. RNAcentral's name for it is "partial 16S ribosomal RNA". It matches the Rfam family "Bacterial small subunit ribosomal RNA", at positions 28 to 506 of the family's 1533-position model. The record is from RNAcentral.